CCUACGGGAGGCAGCAGUGAGGAAUAUUGGUCAAUGGACGCAAGUCUGAACCAGCCAUGCCGCGUGCAGGAAGACGGCUCUAUGAGUUGUAAACUGCUUUUGUACGAGGGUAAACGCAGAUACGCGUAUCUGUCUGAAAGUAUCGUACGAAUAAGGAUCGGCUAACUCCGUUCCAGCAGCCGCGGUAAUACGGAGGAUUCAAGCGUUAUCCGGAUUUAUUGGGUUUAAGUGGUGCGUAGGCGGUCGGAUAAGUUAGAGGUGAAAUCCCGAGGCUCAACUUCGGAAUUGCCUAUGAUACUGUUCGGCGAGAGAGUAGUUGCGGUAGGCGGAAUGUAUGGUGUAGCGGUGAAAUGCUUAGAGAUCAUGCAGAACACCGAUUGCGAAGGCAGCUUACCAAGCUACUUCUGACGUUGAGGCACGAAAGCGUGGGGAGCAAACAGGAUUAGAUACCCGGGUAGUC
RNAcentral lists this ribosomal RNA (460 nucleotides) under uncultured bacterium. RNAcentral's name for it is "partial 16S ribosomal RNA". It matches the Rfam family "Bacterial small subunit ribosomal RNA", at positions 338 to 795 of the family's 1533-position model. The record is from RNAcentral.